GCCCGGCUGGCUCAGUUGGUGGAGCAUGCAACUCUUGAUCUCAGAUUUGUGAGUUCGAGCCCUACGCUGGGUG
RNAcentral lists this transfer RNA (73 nucleotides) under Ailuropoda melanoleuca (giant panda). It matches the Rfam family "tRNA". From Rfam's summary of the family: Transfer RNA (tRNA) molecules are approximately 80 nucleotides in length. Their secondary structure includes four short double-helical elements and three loops (D, anti-codon, and T loops). Lineage: Eukaryota; Metazoa; Chordata; Mammalia; Carnivora; Ursidae. The record is from Rfam by way of RNAcentral.